RNAcentral lists this ribosomal RNA (299 nucleotides) under uncultured Choreotrichida. RNAcentral's name for it is "partial small subunit ribosomal RNA". It matches the Rfam family "Eukaryotic small subunit ribosomal RNA", at positions 595 to 906 of the family's 1831-position model. The record is from RNAcentral. Lineage: Eukaryota; Ciliophora; Spirotrichea.
UAGCGUAUAUUAAAGUUGUUGCAGUUAAAAAGCUCGUAGUUGGAUUUCUGGCAGGAUGACUUUGCCCUCUGUAGAGUGCGCAAUGCUGUCCUACCAUCCUUCUGUUAACCCUGGAGGCCUUUAACAGCUUGUAGGGGGCUCAGAUAUUUUACCUUGAGAAAAUUAGAGUGUUUCAGGCAGGCUAGCGCCGGAAUACAUUAGCAUGGAAUAAUAGAAUAGGACUUAAGCCUCUUCUGUUGGUCUGAGGGGUGUAAGUAAUGAUUAAUAGGGAUAGUUGGGGGCAUUAGUACUUAACUGUC